AAGGAUUUAAGUUAAGUAAAACUAAAAGCCUUCAAAGCUUUAAAUAAAGAUGUCUUUAAGCCUUA
RNAcentral lists this transfer RNA (65 nucleotides) under Anthrenus sp. BMNH 840208. RNAcentral's name for it is "tRNA-Trp". Lineage: Eukaryota; Metazoa; Arthropoda; Insecta; Coleoptera; Dermestidae. The record is from RNAcentral.